UCCCCCAAGAGUCCACAUCGACGGGGAGGUUUGGCACCUCGAUGUCGCCACAUCGCAUCCUGGGGCUGUAGUCCGUCCCAAGGGUUGGGCUGUUCGCCCAUUAAAGCGGUACGCGACCUGGGUUCAGAACGUCGUGAGACAGUUCGGUCCCUAACCGUCGAGCCCCUAGGAAAAUUGAGAGCAGCUGUCCUUAGUACGCGAGGACCGGGAUCGACGCACCGCUGCUGUACCAGAAGUUCUGC
Molecule: ribosomal RNA, 242 nt
Filed under: Bacillus cereus group sp. N3
Lineage: Bacteria; Bacillati; Bacillota; Bacilli; Caryophanales; Bacillaceae
Description: partial 23S ribosomal RNA
Rfam family: Bacterial large subunit ribosomal RNA
Source: RNAcentral